Non-coding RNA from Bos taurus (domestic cattle), 72 nucleotides. The record is from Rfam. NCBI's taxonomy places the organism in Eukaryota, Metazoa, Chordata, Mammalia, Artiodactyla, Bovidae.
UCCCUUAUAGUUCAGUUGGUAAAGAAUCUGCCUGCAGAGCAGAAGACCCAGGUUCGAUUCCUGGGUUGGGAA